Molecule: long non-coding RNA, 1682 nt
Organism: Macaca fascicularis (crab-eating macaque)
Lineage: Eukaryota; Metazoa; Chordata; Mammalia; Primates; Cercopithecidae
Source: Ensembl
UUUUUCUUUUUUUUUUUUUUUUUGGUAGAGAUAGGGGACUCGCUAUGUUGCCCAGGCUUGUCUCAAACUCCUGGCCUCAAGCCAUCCUCCUGCUUUAGCCUCCCAAAUUGCUGGGAUGACAGCUGUGAGGCACUAUGCCCAGAAUAAAUUAUUUUAGUAUUACAGCCAUUAUAGAUUAGGUUUCUAAAUAACAUUUGUUUUUCCAUAUCAUAAAAGUAAUCAAUCUUCAUUGUGAAACAUUUGGAAAACACAAGACACAUAUGUAAGAAAAAAUUACCUACUCUCUUACCACCUGGAGAUUUUGAUAUUUUUCAUUUUGAUAUGUUUCAUUACAGAUUUUUUCAUGAUAUGUGUACAUGUAUGUAUGGGUAUAUACUCUUAAAUGUGUGCUUACACCUGCUCCAAAUGUGUGUGUGUGCACGUGUGCACAAUCCAAUAUACAUCGUGGGGAAUCUACAAAGUUGUGGUCAUGGUGUGGAGCCAGCCCCACAGGCCUCCCCAGAGACAAGGCCCUGGACUGCCCCCAAGUCCUCCUGAAAAGGACAUCUAUGGUGGUGGUAGGGCCACGAAUGGCAACCACCUGGAGGCCCCGAGUACUCAGCGUGAACCAGGAAGUGGAGGGGAAGGGGAAGGGCGGAGUGAGAACCAGGAGGAAUGCUUGCUCUUUUUUCCAAGCACAAGGGACCCUUUUCUUCAUUGCAACUGACCUGAUGCUUAUGCCGGGAAGGAGGAGGGGCACACUCCGUCCUCCGGGUCCCUCAGGAGGAGAGAGGGAGCAAAGUGGGAGACUAGGGUCUGAGGUCUGAACCUGAGCCUGCACCAGCAUCAGUUCCUGUGGGUGGGGGUUGGGGAGGGAGCAGGCAGCCGAGGGCCCUCACCCACUGCAGGGUCUUGUGGGUCAUGUCUUCACCUGUGAUCCUAUAGGAAAUGAGGGUUUUGUUCCACGCGGGGUUCACAGUGUUACGGAGAGUUUUGUUCUGAGCUUAUUUGCCUGGAGAAAGGAAAAAAUGAUCUUAUUAGCAUCAAAGGGUGUGGUAGACAGAACAAUGCCCCCAGAGAUGGCCAUGUCCUCAUCUCCAAAGCUGUGGAUAUGUUAUUGAUAUGCCAAGGGGAACUGAGCCUGCAGAUGGAGUUAGGGUUGUUAAUUAGCUGACUUUAAAAUAGGGAGAUUAUCCUAGACUGUCUGAGUGGCCCAAUGUGGUCACAUGCUUCUUAAAAGCAGAAGAAAGAACAGAGAAGAGAGAGCGAGAUGUCACCAAGGAAGAAGGUCAGGGAGAUGCAACCGGGACGGCUGUGAAGAUGGAGGAAGGGGCCACCAGCCAAGGAGGGCAGGCGACCUCUAGAAGCUGGAAAGAGCCAGGAAAUGGGUGGAAUCCCCAGGCUCCAGAAGGAAUGCAGCCCUGCCAACACCUUGACAUGAGCCCAGGGAGACCGCUGUUGGACUUCUAACCUGCAGAGCUGUCAGAUAGUAAGUGUGCUGCUCUAAGCCUCUAAGUUUGUGCUCAUUUGCUGCAGCAGCCAUAGGAGACUCAUCCAAGGAGGAUCCCAGCUCCAGCCCCGAUGCCCUGGGGUGGGUUCUGCAGGACGCCUGGUGUGGAAAUGAAGUCUCCUUCCGAGGGCAUGCCCUGUCUCUGCGGACUGUCCCCUUUGCCUGGAACCCAUCCUGUCCUUGGGCAUGCUCG